Molecule: unclassified non-coding RNA, 240 nt
Filed under: soil metagenome
Description: partial contains 5.8S ribosomal RNA, internal transcribed spacer 2, and large subunit ribosomal RNA
Source: RNAcentral
AACCAUUCUCACCUGCGGCUAGACCUGCGGAGGGAUCAUUAACAAGCCGUGGGGAUCACCCUGAAAGGGGCAGAUUCCUCACCUGGCCAUCCUUGUUUACUUUAAUGCUGUUGCUUUGGUGAGCCUGCCAUCAGGCUGCCGGUGAAACUCAGUUUCCGGGCUCGUUGUUCACCAAGCUUUUAACUAAAUCUGUAAAGUUUUGUUGUCUGAGUGAAAGCAUAACUUGUAAAAAACUUUUAA